UACGGAGGGGGCUAGCGUUGUUCGGAAUUACUGGGCGUAAAGCGCACGUAGGCGGACCAGCAAGUUGGGGGUGAAAUCCCGGGGCUCAACCCCGGAACUGCCUUCAAAACUGCGGGUCUGGAGGUCGAGAGAGGUGAGUGGAAUUCCGAGUGUAGAGGUGAAAUUCGUAGAUAUUCGGAGGAACACCAGCGGCGAAGGCGGGUAGCUGGGCCAACACUGACGCUGAGGAGCGAAAGCGUGGGGAGCAAACAGG
This 253-nucleotide ribosomal RNA is filed under the name uncultured bacterium. RNAcentral's name for it is "partial 16S ribosomal RNA". It matches the Rfam family "Bacterial small subunit ribosomal RNA", at positions 524 to 776 of the family's 1533-position model. The record is from RNAcentral.